AGCAGGUUGGGCAACCAUCACAAUGACCUAAUUUUAGAACAUUCCAUCACUCUCCACCUCUGUCUCUGUUUGUUCCUGCCUCUCUCCAGCCCAGGAAGCCACUGAUCUCCUUUCUGUCUCUAAAGGGAUUCUAGCUUUGACUUAAUGUAUUAAGCAAAGUCCAGGAUUUAAUCAAGGAAAGGAGGCCAUCAGGAAAAUGAAAAUCAACUACACAGAUUCCACUUUUUAUGAGACAGGAUGGAUCUGCUGCCAGACAGCAAAUGGUGCCAGGGUGAAAAGGUUUAUCAAUUCCAGAACCUUACUGAGUACCUCCUCCUAGGAAACUUGAAUGCCAACACCCUGGCUAGCAUCUCAAUUGUGCACUUGUGAGAUUUUGUCUGUAAUUCAAAGAGAACAGAAAAAAAUUAUUCCUAUUGUGUUGUAAAAAUGGAAAUGGAAAAAGAACUGUUGAUUUUAAUUCCUUGACCCAGGACUUCAGAUGCCAGUAAUGGCUGCUAUGAAUAAACACCCACUGAGUACAUCCCAGAAACUUAAUUGUUCUCUUCUUGUGUACAUGGACCAUGCUGAGUCCAAGGGUCUACAGGCUCAUUUAAGGAGCCAUGCCUGGCUCCUAUUACAACCCAAAAUGAUGGCUA
This 635-nucleotide long non-coding RNA is filed under the name Heterocephalus glaber (naked mole-rat). RNAcentral's name for it is "lncRNA (ENSHGLG00000032939.1)". The record is from RNAcentral. Lineage: Eukaryota; Metazoa; Chordata; Mammalia; Rodentia; Bathyergidae.